Mastomys coucha (southern multimammate mouse) is the source of this 1197-nucleotide long non-coding RNA. RefSeq lists it as uncharacterized. The record is from RefSeq and is a predicted model, not a curated record. The transcript is spliced from 5 exons. Lineage: Eukaryota; Metazoa; Chordata; Mammalia; Rodentia; Muridae.
GAGGCCAUUAUAGAAAUCUACAGCUUGACAAAAUCCAGAGAACUAUGACCAUGGAAUUCCCAAGCCCAGUUGAUACAUCUAUAAAUCUACAAUACAAUCUCUACACUUAAGACUCAAGGAAUAUCACAGAAGAAAGGGUAUAAAGAUCAUAAGGGACAGAGGACCGAACAUUCUGCUAGGACCAGAUAUUCUUCUAAGAGGAUUGCCUACAAAAAGGGGAAGAAAAAGUUGGGGCAUUAAACUAAAGAAGGAAGAUGUAACAAUGGCCUGCUCAGAGGACUUUUCCACGUGGACGAUGGUUCUCAAGAGGCACAGGUUGAUAACUCUCCAGCCUUAGGGACUAAGCCAUCAGAGGAAGGUGAAGCGUAUUUACUGUAAAUGGCAAUUGCAUUGUUUGUUGGUGUCAUUAUCUGAUAAUAAAACAUGGAAGAAAAAUGUGGGCAGGCAUGGCUCCAUCUUGGAAGGCCAAUCGGAGCUUGGUGGGCCAUGUGAAAAGGGACCGAGAGCACUGUCUCUUGUGAGUAAAUCAGAAGCCAAUCUCAUUGGAACUAGCUGAGUGGAACUGCAUCAGCACAGCAUGCUGGAGGAGCUGGAGUUUUGUACACUUUAAUCACACCCUGCGCUGGAAGAUACAUGAGGAAGGAAGGAAGUAGCUGUGAAGUGGGAGGCGGCCAGGUAAACACCUUGAAGUGAUCACUACCACAUGGAUACAAAACCAUGCCUCCAAGAAGCAUUCGUCUGGGCAUGAAGAAAAGACAGCUGUGUAAAGUCUGGGGCUAGGAACAUAUGGCAGCCACUCUCCCUCAGUGGAUGGUCAUGGAAGCAUAUAAGACAACUGAAACAUGCACCUGCUGGCAGCACAUGGUACAGAGCCUUUCAUGUUCGGUUGUCUGAUGAAGACGUUCUAAGGGACACAGGCGAGUGUGCGCUGGAGGUGAGAACAGCACGGUGUUUUCCAUCAGUGAGUCAGUCUGUUGAACCUCAGGUAGGUUGAACUUAGAAAAUGGCACAGGGAACCAAACUGUGCUGGAGACCCCAGGCUGCAGGAGCAUUUGGAUAUAAAUACCCUACUUUUGGUGAUCAGGACUUUUUAUAUUACUGCUUCAGCUAUGUGCUACACACACACACAUUACAAUAUCUUCUUUCCCCACAUUAAGAAUCUUCCACAGAAAUAAAGAUAAGACUAAGAAUCAGGAA